This 472-nucleotide ribosomal RNA is filed under the name uncultured organism. Its description in RNAcentral is "partial 16S ribosomal RNA". It matches the Rfam family "Bacterial small subunit ribosomal RNA", at positions 333 to 797 of the family's 1533-position model. The record is from RNAcentral.
ACACUCCUGCGGGAGGCAACAGUGGGGAAUUUUGGACAAUGGGCGAAAGCCUGAUCCAGCCAUGCCGCGUGCAGGAUGAAGGCCUUCGGGUUGUAAACUGCUUUUGUACGGAACGAAACGGCCUUUUCUAAUAAAGAGGGCUAAUGACGGUACCGUAAGAAUAAGCACCGGCUAACUACGUGCCAGCAGCCGCGGUAAUACGUAGGGUGCAAGCGUUAAUCGGAAUUACUGGGCGUAAAGCGUGCGCAGGCGGUUAUGUAAGACAGUUGUGAAAUCCCCGGGCUCAACCUGGGAACUGCAUCUGUGACUGCAUAGCUAGAGUACGGUAGAGGGGGAUGGAAUUCCGCGUGUAGCAGUGAAAUGCGUAGAUAUGCGGAGGAACACCGAUGGCGAAGGCAAUCCCCUGGACCUGUACUGACGCUCAUGCACGAAAGCGUGGGGAGCAAACAGGAUUAGAAACCCCUGUAGUCCC